AACAUUACCGAGUACAACUCCCAAACCCCUGUGAACAUACCAAUGUUGCCUCGGCGGAUCAGCCCGCUCCCGGGGUAAAACGGGACGGGCCAGAGGACCCCUAAACCUAUAUGUAACUUCUGAGUAAAACCAUAAAUAAACCCUCAAAACUGGAAAAAGGCCUUGGAAAAAGGGCCCCAACAACGGAUCUCUUGGUUCUGGCAUCGAUGAAGAACGCAGCAAAAUGCGAUAAGUAAAAGGUGUGAAUGCAGAAUUCAGUGAAUCAUCGAAUCUGAACGCACAUUGCGCCCGCCAGUAUUCUGGCGGGCAUGCCUGUUCGAGCGUCAUCAACCCUCAAGCCCCCGGGUGGUGUUGGGGAUCGGCGAGCCCUUGCGGCAAGCCGGCCCCGAAAGGUCUAGUGGCGGUCUCGCUGCAGCUUCCAUUGCGUAGUAGUAAAACCCUCGCAACUGGUACGCGGCGCGGCCAAGCCGUUAAACCCCCAACUUCUGAAUGUUGACCUCGGAUCAGGUAGGAAUACCCGCUGAACUAAGCAUAUCAAAAGCGGGAGGAAUUGCAGAA
This 558-nucleotide small RNA is filed under the name Fusarium mangiferae. Its description in RNAcentral is "eukaryotic LSU rRNA". The stretch from base 172 to 326 matches the Rfam family "5.8S ribosomal RNA". Lineage: Eukaryota; Fungi; Ascomycota; Sordariomycetes; Hypocreales; Nectriaceae. The record is from RNAcentral.